Molecule: ribosomal RNA, 422 nt
Filed under: uncultured bacterium
Lineage: Bacteria
Description: partial 16S ribosomal RNA
Rfam family: Bacterial small subunit ribosomal RNA
Source: RNAcentral
UAUCUUGGACAAUGGGGGAAACCCUGAUGCAGCUUUCACGCGUGUAUGAAGAAGGCCCUCGGGUUGUUUAGUACUUUUGGCAGAGAAGGUAAGGUAUCCCCUAAUACGAGAUACUGCUGACGGUCUCUGCAGAAUAAGCACAGUUCAACUACGUGCCAGCAGCAGUGGUAAUACGUAGGGUGCAAGCGUUAAUCGAAAUUACUGGGCGUAAAGCGUGUGUAGGCGGUUAGAAAAGAAAGAUGUGAAAUCCCAGGGCUCAACCUUGGAACUGCAUUUUUAACUGCCGAGCUAGAGUAUGUAAGAGGGGGGUAGAAUUCCACGUGUAGCAGUGAAAUGCGUAGAUAUGUGGAGGAAUACCGAUGGCGAAGGCAGCCCCCUGGGAUAAUAACGACGCUCAGACACGAAAGCGUGGGGAGCAAACA